GUCAGGAUGGCCGAGCUGUCCAAGGCGCUGCGUUCAGGUCGCAGUCCACUCUGUGGGCGUGGGUUCGAAUCCCACUCCUGACA
This 83-nucleotide transfer RNA is filed under the name Schistosoma mansoni. It matches the Rfam family "tRNA". From Rfam's summary of the family: Transfer RNA (tRNA) molecules are approximately 80 nucleotides in length. Their secondary structure includes four short double-helical elements and three loops (D, anti-codon, and T loops). Further hydrogen bonds mediate the characteristic L-shaped molecular structure. tRNAs have two regions of fundamental functional importance: the anti-codon, which is responsible for specific mRNA codon recognition, and the 3' end, to which the tRNAs corresponding amino acid is attached (by aminoacyl-tRNA synthetases). tRNAs cope with the degeneracy of the genetic code in two manners: having more than one tRNA (with a specific anti-codon) for a particular amino acid; and 'wobble' base-pairing, i.e. permitting non-standard base-pairing at the 3rd anti-codon position. The record is from Rfam by way of RNAcentral. Lineage: Eukaryota; Metazoa; Platyhelminthes; Trematoda; Strigeidida; Schistosomatidae.